CAGUGGCUUCCAGUCUGAUCGGAUCGGCUUUUACACGACGUCUCUGAUGAUUGAUCAGGUUUCCAGAGCAGUGGUGUCGGUUCAGCACCUGGUUCAUUAAUGUUGGAAAAACAAAGUCUGAUCACCGACACAAACCGUGGAGGACGUCUGAUUUUCACUGACAGUGUUGGUUUCAUGUCUCCUCCCUCAGGACGUUCACCUGCAGAGAGUGAGGGUGGGCGUGGCGGCGGCGGACACUGUGACCUCAGCCUGUGGUUUGGAUGUCCCCGCCCCCAGCUGAUGCUCCGCCUCCUUCGCAUCGAUCAGCUGAUUGAAGCACAGGUCAAAGGUCACGGCCACGCUGCCCCGACUGAGAACACAAAUGAAUAACAGCUGUCACCUCAUCAAUCAGAUUAUCAGCAGAACGUGUCAUCUCGUGUCAGCCUCUGAGCAAACAAUCAAUCGGUCGAUUGAUCAGUUAAUCAAUGGAAGAUCAAACAGCUGCUGCUGCUUAUUGGGAUGAAAAUGCUUAGUCAGCAGAUCAUUGAUCAGUGAUGGUGUGAUUGACCCUUUGAUCAGCUCUGUCACUGAGAUGGAACUGAUGAAUCAGUUGAUGAUUGAUCAGUUCUGAUGUAAUUUAUUAUUUUAUUGGUAUUGACGAUCAGACAUCGGACCUGAAGUGUGACACCUGACAGGACCUGUAGAGCCGGUGGAGCUCCGUGUGGCCGAACGCCUCGGACACCUGUUGGCCAAUCACAGGUCAGACAUGAUGUCAUGAAAUGUGAGGGAAGUGAUCGGGUCAGUAUCGAUCACAGAGACGAUGCUUCGAACGUCACGUUCACAUUAAAACACCGACACUGAGCCACUUCCCUGUAGUCUUUCAAAAUAAAAGCUGAAUCUGCCCAUUCUUUUUCAAAGUAAAAGCACGUGAUCUCACCAGCUGCUGGACGUCAAAGGCCAGAGACUUAAACUGCAGACUGCUGGAGUUCCUCAGCUCCUCAGAGAACACGGCUCCCUCUGUGAUCACCAUCCGCCCGCUCAGCACCGCAGACGCACCGCCACCUUGGCACCAAACAACCGUAUGAGCUCCUCCAUGUUUUACCAACGCAGCUGCACCCGUCUGAGGUUCUGCCAGACAGUUCACCUUCGUCCAAAAGUCUCUGCAGACCAGUGAUGGCUGUUUCAGUUUGAUGAAGGUAGCUCGCCCUUCCUCUCGUGUUCCUGCCAGCCUGAUUGUUUCCACCUGUUCCCCAUUACCUAGUGUCCAUAUAUUGUCUGCGUCUCUUUGUCCUGUGCCAGUUGGUCCUGUCUCGAUAGAACCAGCGUUUCCCUCGUCCUGUCAGGUCCUGUUUGGUUCUUCAGUCCAUUGUCUUGUUUUGUUGGUGCUUUGUUUGGUUUAUUUUAUAAUCUAGUCUUUUUCCUCGCUGACAGUGAUUUUGUGUUUUUGUAGUCUUUUAUUUUUGUUGCCUUUUUGCCAUGAGUGAUUUUUAUUUUUAAUAUAAAGACUCUUAUUUUGAACUCCUUGCUCAGUUGUGACACCAGAUGAUAACGAUCCGACCAAUCACUGAGCACUGCACAGGCCUUUAGGAUGAAGGUAGAACGUCUUCAAGAACCUCAGGCAGAUCCAGAUGCAUUAGUUUAGCACUUAGAAAUUCUGUGACCUGAAUGAUGAAGAGUCUUCACAGACAACAUUAGUAUUGAUUAAUGAUAUUCUGUUCUGAUCAGUUUAGUAAAAGCAGAUGUUCAGUUACCUUCAGGCUUCAGGCUGAUCCACGAAACUAUGAUCAGUCCAACACAACAGAUCAGAAGAAGAGAGGAAAUGAUGCUGAGGCGAAACUCCAGAGACGACAGACGCCGCGUCAUGUUUCCAGCUGCAGGG
Toxotes jaculatrix (banded archerfish) is the source of this 1858-nucleotide long non-coding RNA. RefSeq lists it as uncharacterized. The transcript has 3 exons. NCBI's taxonomy places the organism in Eukaryota, Metazoa, Chordata, Actinopteri, Toxotidae. The record is from RefSeq and is a predicted model, not a curated record.